Pipistrellus kuhlii (Kuhl's pipistrelle) is the source of this 2306-nucleotide long non-coding RNA. RefSeq lists it as uncharacterized. The transcript is spliced from 4 exons. The record is from RefSeq and is a predicted model, not a curated record. NCBI's taxonomy places the organism in Eukaryota, Metazoa, Chordata, Mammalia, Chiroptera, Vespertilionidae.
CCCACCCCGCGCCCGAGCCCGAGGCCGCCUGCGCCCGGACCGGGAGCGCGGCCGGCCGAUCCGACCCGCCGCCUAAUGGGCUCGAGGCGAGGGGCGCCCCGGCUUCAGGGCCCCGAGAAAGGACCCCCCGCCGCUCGCCCGCCCCAAGUGCAAAGCAUUGACACGGCCCCGAGAGGAGAGGGGGCGCCCUCCGCCCGCGUCCGGCGGCCCGGACGCUCCGGCCCGCUCCGCGGCGUGGCCUCCGACCCCGCUGCCGGCGCCGCCCGCCCGGCCGGCUCCGGGGGAGCCGCGGGCGCCGGGGAGAGCGGCCGGGGGCGGGCGCGGCCCGGAGAGGACGCCCGUGGCGGAGCCGGGGACCCCUGCCUCGGACGGAGGGAGCCUCGGGAGCUCGGGACUGAAGCGGCAAGAUAUGUGCGACCGCCCCCCUGGUCCCGGCUGGCUGAGACCUUCAUCUCCAGCCUCACCCGCCGCCGCCGGCCACUGCCACACACACGCGCAGCACAGCUGGCUCUGGUUAGGGACUGGGUCUCGGCCUUUGCUCCUGGGCUGGCCAUUACAGCCGUCCAGGAACUAACCACCGGUCCCCACUCGCUGCAGGCUACCCCCGGAGCACUGAGGCCGCUCAGUAGCAGCAGCCGCAGGAGGGAGCGGGGAGGCUGGGUGCCCUCCUUCAGGGCGGGCGCCUGGGCCUAGGCUGGAGGGGCCUUCGGAUGGCACCAGCCACAUCUGCAAGGGAGUGGCUGGCACCAGACCCCCUCAGCAGACGGAGGUGUGAGAGGAGGGGAGUGUGGGUGCAGGCAGUGGGUCUGACGAUGGUGGGCCCGGGAUGAGGAAGCGUUAGCUGGGCCUGGACAGAGAACCCGGCUCCUGGGUGGGGCUCGCUCUCUCCCUGGCGGCGCUUCUCACCCUGAUCGGGAGGAUAGGUCAUUGCGCCAAGGGAGGGAGGACGGGAAAGCAGAGGACAGACCUCGGGCUUCUCUAGGGAAGCUUUGGACUCCAGGAAAGUGUACUCCGCCCCCUUCUUUCCCACAAGCAAGCAGGGGAGCUUGUGAGAGACUUGUGAGGCCCCCCCUUUGCCUCCACAGGCCCUGGCCCUCAUGCACAGCCAUCCCGGCACUAGGGGGCGCUGACAGCAGGGCCAGGAGGGCAGGAGAGCGCACCAGCUGUCAGCGGCAAGAAAAGCAGGGGCUUCCUUGGGGUCUGGACACCAGGCCCAAGGAAGAAAGCCCCGGAGGAAGGAGCAGGAAAGGCCACAUGGACGGGGGGAGGCGGGCCCCUCUCCAGAGCUGGGGGACAGGCCCCCGUUCUUGAUGCAACGUGCUGACGCCUCUGCGCUGCCGAGGAAGCCGAGGAGCCCCCAGGCCGGGCCCAAGCGCGGCACCCCCACAGCCCCUGGCACAGGCCCACAGCAACCCCACCCCCAGGUCCCAGCAGACGCGCUCGUCCCAUCGUGUGCCAGCGCAGGGCAGUGCUCCUGAAGGGCCCCCCCCCCCCCCAUAGCUGCCUGGCUCAGGUGGUAUCGGGCACAAUGGGAGUGGGCAGGCUUCUCCCUCGCCCCGCGUCCCAGGGUGACCAUCCUCUCCCCUCCUCUCCGUCCCCACUGCCACUGCCUGGUGAGGCCUGCACUUCCCACCUGGCUACCUUCCUCACUGACCUCCUGACCUCUAGACCCCCCAUCCCACCCCCCGCUCUCCAACCCGCCAGCACACCAAAGCCGGUGGUCUGUGUACAGCACACACCUCGCCUUGCUCUCCCUCUGCCCAGAAGCCUUCGCCUCCUCGCGGUGCCCAGGAUAAGGCCUAAACUCCCUUCCAGGGCCUGCCGAGGCCUCACCUCACUCAGGGUACGAAAUUGAGCAAAUUACAGGAAUGAACUUGAGAAGUUCUGAGAGCUCUCCAGGCUCCCUCGACCCCCAGGCUGAGCCCAGCGUCCCCUGCCCCGGGAGCCGGCCCCGCUGCCCGGCAUAGCCGGCCAGGUGUGCCCGUCCGGCGGCCAGCCCCGGGCCUGAGCUGCGCCUCGUCUCCGGAUCCCUAGUGCCAGCCCCGGGCCUAGAACACAGCUGGCGAGCAGGGAGCGCUUCUGGGAGAUGGACAACGAUCAAGAAGUACACGGGUCUCUGCAAGCAGCAGGUGUCUCUGCCAGCCAGCCCCCCGCCAGCCUGCCCUCCACUGGACCUCGCGAGAGAUUCUUUUUAAUCAAGAAAUGGCCCGCGGAGGAAGACGGCAGAUACGUUUAUGGCUCUCCGCUUCCCUCCUUGCCUCGCUGUAAAUACCCCGCUCCGAGCUGGAAAAUAAAUUUCCGACCCC